Molecule: ribosomal RNA, 440 nt
Filed under: uncultured bacterium
Lineage: Bacteria
Description: partial 16S ribosomal RNA
Rfam family: Bacterial small subunit ribosomal RNA
Source: RNAcentral
CCUACGGGAGGCAGCAGUGGGGAAUAUUGCACAAUGGGGGAAACCCUGAUGCAGCGACGCCGCAUGAGUGAAGAAGUAAUUCGUUAUGUAAAGCUCUAUCAGCAGGGAAGAAAAUGACGGUACCUGAGUAAGAAGCCACGGGCAACUACGUGCCAGCAGCCGCGGGCAUACGUAGGGGGCAAGCGUUAUCCGGAUUUACUGGGUGUAAAGGGGGCGUAGACGGGACUGCAAGUCUGGAGUGAAAGGCGGGGGCUCAACCCCCGGACUGCUCUGGAAACUGGACGGCUGGAGUGCAGGAGAGGUAAGUGGAAUUCCUAGUGUAGCGGUGAAAUGCGUAGAUAUUAGGAGGAACACCAGUGGCGAAGGCGGCUUACUGGACUGUAACUGACGUUGAGGCUCGAAAGCGUGGGGAGCAAACAGGAUUAGAUACCCGAGUAGUC